CUUCAGUCUUUUAAGCUCGGAAGAACGUCUCCUGAGAGCUGGUGUAGUGAAACAGGCUGGAUCCAAAUAUACGGUAACCAAGACAGGAUCAUAUUUGAAUUUGUUGCUGAAUUUUAAAAUGGAAGGAAAACACCAGCAGAUAGAUUCAAGAAGUCACAUAUGUGAUUGCUCUAAUAGUACCCAUACUUGCUGCCAAGGCAACUGGUGCUGCCCUUACCCUGUCGCAAUUAAUAGAGGUUCUGCUGUCAUCACCGCCCAGCCCAAACCUAUGAUUAAUGUUCAGGCCAAUCCAGUCAUGGUGGUUAAUCCUGCUCCUCCUACUAAUGGUUGGGGUGGGCAGUUUGCUAAUCAAAGCUCUGCUCCAUUUCCUGGGGGUUUUGGGGGCCAGUAUGUUAAUCAAAAUUCUGGUCCAUUCCCUGGUGGUUUCAUGGCUCAGAAUUCACAAGGAAAUGUGUUUGGAAACCCUCCUCCAUAUCCUGGUGCAUAAAGCAGUUAAAUACUGUACAAACAGUAUUUGGGUUCUCAUAUUAUCUAUGAUGAUGUUGGUUUAUGAUGAAACGUAUUUACUCAUAUAGAAAACUUAAUCUAUUUUCAGUACUUCAAUAAUAAUUAUCAAGGGCCUGAUU
Cyprinodon tularosa is the source of this 626-nucleotide long non-coding RNA. RefSeq lists it as uncharacterized. NCBI's taxonomy places the organism in Eukaryota, Metazoa, Chordata, Actinopteri, Cyprinodontiformes, Cyprinodontidae. The transcript has 3 exons. The record is from RefSeq and is a predicted model, not a curated record.